ACCCAGCUAGCUCAGUCGAUAGAGCAUGAGACUCCUAAUCUCAGGGUCCUGGGUUUGUGGCCCACAUUGGGUG
RNAcentral lists this transfer RNA (73 nucleotides) under Neotoma lepida (desert woodrat). It matches the Rfam family "tRNA". From Rfam's summary of the family: Transfer RNA (tRNA) molecules are approximately 80 nucleotides in length. Their secondary structure includes four short double-helical elements and three loops (D, anti-codon, and T loops). Further hydrogen bonds mediate the characteristic L-shaped molecular structure. tRNAs have two regions of fundamental functional importance: the anti-codon, which is responsible for specific mRNA codon recognition, and the 3' end, to which the tRNAs corresponding amino acid is attached (by aminoacyl-tRNA synthetases). tRNAs cope with the degeneracy of the genetic code in two manners: having more than one tRNA (with a specific anti-codon) for a particular amino acid; and 'wobble' base-pairing, i.e. permitting non-standard base-pairing at the 3rd anti-codon position. The record is from Rfam by way of RNAcentral. Lineage: Eukaryota; Metazoa; Chordata; Mammalia; Rodentia; Cricetidae.